CUUUGGGGCAGGGAGCAGAGAGGUUUCCCACAGCAUCAGGAACAGGCAGAGGGCUCAGGGCUGGCACGGCACAACACACAGCACAGCACAGCACAGCACAGCUUCUCCUGCUCAGGAACAGGGAGCUGUGGGGUUUGGGAUUGACUGGUGCAGUCCCACAGUGAUCCCCAAGUAGGUCAAGCACAGGUGUGCUGGAAGUGCCAGGAAUUCACCUGUGGAAGGCAAAGGAGGAGCUGCUGUGCUGGGCUGAGCAUGGGCUCCCUGCCCACCCCUCAGCAGGGCUGAAGUGCCUCUGGGGCCUUUUCUCCUGCCCCAAAGGGAGGUCAUUCACGUGUUCAGGAGGCACCAGACAUCAGGAACACUCAGAGGCACCAGGAACAGGCAAUCCAGCCUGCCCUGGGACCUCGGGCAGAGUUAGCAACAGGGUUGCUGUGCCACAAGGUUGUGCUGUGGAAAUCCUUUCAGGUUGCUCCCAGUGCAGUAGGGAGGGUUUCCAGCCAUGAAGAGGAAAUUAAUUCCUGCUGCAUGGAGAUUCAUUUGCUACCUCAGCCACCAGCUGGGUGAAAAAGCAGCUGAGGAUGCAGCAGUCCAGCUGUUAAUAUGUUUAUUGGGAUGAAUAUUACAUAUCAUUCUCAGAGUGGUUCUAUUUCUUUGCAGAAGGCACAAACCACAGCAGCAGGAUUUAGGAAUAUGGACAAGCCUGUGUUUCCAUAAAACCAUGUUUGAUGGCAGGACACAAUGGAGGUGUCUGUCACAUGAACACCCAGUGUUAAAGGCUUGGUUAAAACUGCCCUGUGAUCCUGUGGAACUCCUCAUGUUCUUCCAGGCUCAGCUUCCCACUUCCUUAUCCAUUCCCAGUCUGCAGACUUCUCAUUGCUGACCAGGUGUUUCCAGUUCCCUCCCUUUCUUCCUCAUGGUGUGCAGAUUCUGAUCCAAUCCUGCUGUGCCACCCCAAAGGCUCCUCCUGCUCUCCCUUUGGCGUGUCCAUGUUCCCCCUGCUCCCAUCAGCUCAUUUACCUGCUGUGACUACAAAUAUUCCUCUGCCUGUUGGAGAAGGUGUUGGGAGAUGCCAGGCAUGAGAGGACUGUCAGGAAGAGGCUCCUCCCCUGGUUAAAUGGAUCAGAAACUCCUGGGACAGGGCAUGCCAGCACAGUCUGGUUUGUAAACAUGACAGGCCUUGUUGCUGCUCUCAUCUGCAUGUGAUGAUCCAGGGCAAGACUUGAGGGAAUCCAGGGAAGACUGUGCUGGAAUAACUUCCAUCUUCUCCUCCUCACACACCAGAAACCUGAUCCUCUGACAGAAUAGCCUUGUGAAUUUCCCAUCAUAAAUAGAUCCAGGAAAACUCUCAGUUGCUCCAAUCCAUUUGUGACCAAAAGAGAUAGAAAUCUGCUCACAGGGGCCAAGCAGAUCAUGUGUCCUGAUGGGUCUCUGUCUCUGCAGCAGAGCUGCUGCUUGUCUUAUCUUGAUAAAACCCCUCCAGAACAUCUCUUUCCAGCUCAAUGAGUUGCUGUGUAAUAUCUUCAGUAUUUGCUGUUGCUGCUGGACUGGAAGCAGACCUGUGGAAAUUCCUGUCUGUGGAAAAUGGAGAUGUAGGAGAGUGUGUGGGAUGAACCAUCACCCGCCUCACCUGGAGCUGCUCUGAUCAGCCUGGGGCUGGCAAGGAGCUGCUGCUCCUGCCUCGUGUACAGAGCCUGUCCUGAGCAUCUCUGCUCUUCAUUCAGUGCUUUGCAGUGCCUGCUCAGCCUUUCAUUUCUUCAGUGGCAGCCUCUGGCUCCAUCCCGAUAACAAUUCCUGGGGCUCAGUCUCUUGUCAGGCACUUUCUCUCCACAGUAUUUUAUUUUGCUCAUUGACAGCAGCAGCUUUCUCUGGAGAAGCAAAAUCCCUCCUUCCCUCCCCCUUCUCCCCUGGGCUCCUGUUAAAUAACCUUGUGCACAGCCAAGCCAGAAAUGCUCUGGGAGAAAAACAGGCUGAAAGCCCCAGUGCUGCCUGGGCACUAACCCAGGAGCAAAUCCAGCAGGAGGAUGAUGAGGGACUGGACCAUGAGGACAGACUUGGAGGGUGGCAGAGCCCCAGAGCAGCUGCCCAGGAUGCUGUGGGGUCUCCUUGUCUGGAGAUGUCCAAACCCCACCCGGGCCCCUUCCUGUGCCAUGGUGCAGCACCCUGCAGCAGCACAGGUUCCCUCCCUCCCACUCUGAGAUUUGGGUUCUCCAUGGUGACAGAACCUUUGUGCUCCUGUGCCAGGCUAGGGCAGAGAGUCCUGGCCUGUGGUGCCAAAGGGGAGUCCAAGCUCUGGGUAUGGAGCCAUCCUCAGGGGUGUGAGUUUUAGGAACCCUGUGUCAUUUCUGUGCAAAGGGAAAGGAGGGGGCGAGGCAGAUCCUCUGUGGGAUGCAGGACCUGCAGAGAGGUCAGGGCUGGCCCCCACCCCAUCCCCUCAGCUCUGAGCUGCAGCUCCUGGUGCUCUCCAGAGGCUCCAGUCUGUGAUCCUGGCAUUGUUUUGCCAGCUGGGCUCUGCUGUGGCCUCUGUUCAGCCCCAAGGAUUGAGGCAGCUCAAUGUCACUGCAGAAGGAGCCGAAAUUGUUCCCAACUUGCCUGAUCCCUUUGGUGUUGGAUCUGUUUUGGCUGCCUCCAAAGCACGGCCUGCAGUCAGCUCAGGAGAACUCUCUGUCUUGCUUCAGCUUUGUUUGAUCAGGGAUACUUGGUGAAAAUUAGUCCAGAUUAACUAAUGGCAAGGAUUGAAGGGUGCAAAUUAGUCCAAAUUAACUAAUGGCAAGGAUUGAAGGUGGAUCACUUCACUUACACUGGCUUGGCUGCUCUUGGUCAGAACAAAAGUGGCCUUUAAUUGUUUACUUCAGAGCUAAAAUAAAUAAAAACUUGCUUCUAGCUGUAUCCACACAAGGUUUAAUCCAGUUUAUCUAUGCAAAUCUUACUCAGAUGAGCUGCCUUGGUCAUCUCCCUGUCAGCAAGUUUUCUGAAAGCAAGGAUAUUCCAGAGAAAGGCAGAACUUGGUCCAUGGAUCCUCAGUGUGUGUGCCACACACAUUUCCCUGGGGAAGCCUAUGGAGUGUGACAGCUUUUGCCAUCCAUGGCAGGAGUCAAAGUGGUCCUUUUAAGACAUCUCUUUAGCCCCUUAAGUCCUGGAGCCCUCCAUUCCUGUCCCCUGUCUUGGUUUCUUUAUCCAAGACCUCUCAGUGGUGGAUAAGCACCAAUUUCCUUGUCUAGAAGAGCUGGAGAAGGGAAAAAACCAACCCCAAUUUGUAUAAGUAUAGGGAAAAGCGAGCACUGCUAAUAUUAGUGUUGCUUUUGUAUUAAUAAUUCUCUGAUAAAUGCCUGGGUUUUUUUUCUUUGCCAGUCUAAAAAUACUCCCCCAGCUUGGCAGCAUGUUGUGACUGUGAUAAUGAAAGUGCAGCAGCAUGUGCCUGCCACAGCUCCUGCCCUUUCCUCCUGGGCUGGCAGAGCUCUGGGGUUGUCUGAGGGAAGAGAGGGCACACAUACUGAGAUGAAGGAAAGCUGCUCCUGACUCCUGCCUUCCAAAAGGCCACAGCCUGGGAAUUAUCUCAAUUUCAGUGGAACCCAGUGUGUUACGGAAAUGUCACGUCCCUGAGCCAGGGAGAGAGGUGGAGUACAAAACCAAAACAAGAAUGCCACCAAAUUUAAACAGAAGCAGCUCAUUUUCAACUGAUUGAAGUUAAAUAUACAUUUUUUAAAAUAUUUUUUUUAAUCUCCAAGGCUAUGGAACUCCCUGCUAGAAGUACUUUUGGAGCCAAAGGGACUCUGCAUGUGUUUAGGUGAUGAAUGUGUGGUUUGGCAGUGCCCUUGGCUGGGAGAGGACCCUGUUAUUGUUACAGUUUAAUUGUUGUUAUUGGUGCUGUACUGCACCUGUGCACCACAACUUUCCCUCUGACACAACAUUCAAAGCAGAAGCUGCAGCAUGAGGUUCACUGAGUGCCUGCCCAGAUGCUGGAGAUCAUCCUUGUGCUGGCUUAUGGCUUGUGCCCACACAGGAUGUUUGGGUGUAGCUCUGCCAGCUGAGCGUGGGGUGGGUUUGGGCUGAGCUCCUGCUGGGAGGUGUGGGAAAUGGAUUUGUAGGGAAUUCUUAAAGCUUGACAGAAGGCUCAUAUAGUAUGCAUCUGUAUUGGGUAUUGUAUUGUCUCACCCUUCACAUAAGACUGAA
Long non-coding RNA from Passer domesticus (house sparrow), 4170 nucleotides. RefSeq lists it as uncharacterized. The record is from RefSeq and is a predicted model, not a curated record. The transcript has 6 exons. NCBI's taxonomy places the organism in Eukaryota, Metazoa, Chordata, Aves, Passeriformes, Passeridae.